CAAAAAGUAGCUUAAACAAAAGCAUCCAACUUACAAUUGGAAGAUGCCCAGACUACUGGCCUUUUUGA
Molecule: transfer RNA, 68 nt
Filed under: Eremias multiocellata
Lineage: Eukaryota; Metazoa; Chordata; Lepidosauria; Squamata; Lacertidae
Description: tRNA-Val
Rfam family: tRNA
About the family: Transfer RNA (tRNA) molecules are approximately 80 nucleotides in length. Their secondary structure includes four short double-helical elements and three loops (D, anti-codon, and T loops).
Source: RNAcentral